This is a long non-coding RNA of Carcharodon carcharias (great white shark), 4139 nucleotides long. RefSeq lists it as uncharacterized. NCBI's taxonomy places the organism in Eukaryota, Metazoa, Chordata, Chondrichthyes, Lamniformes, Lamnidae. The transcript is spliced from 2 exons. The record is from RefSeq and is a predicted model, not a curated record.
UCUGCAACAGUGCAGCAGUCCCUCAGUGCUACAGUGGAGUGUCAGCCUAGACUGUUGCACUCAAGUCCUGGGGUUCACAGCCUUCUGAUUUAAAGACAAGAUUUAGACUGAUUUAGAGAUCAGCCGAACCAGGGCUGACCUACUGUUCAUUCAUUUUGGCAACUGAUUUAGUUUAUGUCUCAUACUACCCUUCAUAUUUAGUUUUCCAUUUUUGAAUUGGGCCCCCUUGCUAAACCAAGUAAAGGCUUUAAAAAACCCCAGGAGAAAAUGUGAGACUGGAUUAAGAAUGAAAAAUAAAUGGCACGGUAGAUACAGUAUCAGGCUACAGAUCGUGUGGAGCACUGCAGGAUUUUAUCGGCAGACGGGACAGUACUGAGCGGAGUCUUCCAUGGGUUGGCAGUCGGACCCUUAUCUUCUACCAGAAGAAGUGACCUGGCUGCGAGGAAGCUUAUUAAAUUUCCAGCCAAUUUGGUCAGGCAGAAGGAAUGCAUUCAAAAUUUGAUGUGUUAAUCGGCAGAGAGCAAAUGAAGUUGAGCAUUAACAAAUGGCAGGUUGCUGCAUGUUGGAAGAAGGGAUUGGUGAAAAUGGUGAACUGCACAGGGAGCAAAUGACCAUAGGGAAGGGGUCUGGGAACGAUGGUAAGACUUCCCAUGUCCGAUGUCCAGACAGUUGAAGCAGUAAGAAUGUUGGAAUGGAAACUGUCAGUAGAGUACCCAGCACAGAGGCUUCGCUCAGUAUUUUUAAUGUUCCAUUGAGCCGUUCUAUUUACCAUUGCUGUUACCCUUUUGUCUACAAGAAUGAUCAAGUGUAAAGGGAAGAGAUAAAUGGAGCUUAAUUAAGAUCUACAAGCUUAAGGCAAUUACGACCAUUCAGCCUUAUAAAGUAUUUAAUUCAUGGAGAAGGUUGAACCAGACUGUGUUAAGGUCAACUUAAAUGUCAACUUGCAGAUCAUAAAUUUAAAACACUGGCAUUUGGGCUGAGCCGUCAGAUUGGGUAGUGGAACUGGACAUUGGGGAAGUGCAGGAUACAGUUGAAUGCUAGGCUGGGUAAUGUGAAAUAUCAAAAACAAAAACAGAAUUAUCUGGAAAAACUCAGCAGGUCUGGCAGCAUCGGCGGAGAAGAAAAGAGUUGACGUUUUGAGUCCUCAUGACCCUUCAACAGAACUUUUAAUGUGAAAUAUCGGAUGUGUGAGACUGAUGGGCUAAUCUCUUUUAUUAUCCCUGAUAUUCCACACACAGGAGUGUAGCCUGUGGUAACUUCAAACAGAAUAGUUCUUGUGUUCUGUCCAAUGGGCUUUCUCUCUUUCCCCUUUGGGGAGCUUACUGCUUCCCAAGAUUCGGGAGCCCAGAGAGUGUGGUGUGGUGCUACUGGACGAACAGUUGAGAUAACUCCAGCUGCUUACCUGAUACUGAGGAAUGGAAUUAUUACCAAUGAGACUGGGAAAUCUCUGGACUUUAACAUAGUUUUUAAAAAAUGGCCUAAGGUACCUCACAGAAACAUAAGCAAGAAAAUGACAGCCUAAAGCCUGCUCAAAGGACUAGAUUUUACAACAACUUACUCCCUUAACAUACUAAAAUGUCCCAAAGUUGCUUUACAAGAGCAUAAACGAAACUUGACACCCAGACAAAAAGCGAAAUAUUACAAGAGAUGACUAAAAGUUUGGUUGCAGAGUUGGCUUUGAAGAACGUUCUGAAGGAGGGAUGAGAGGCAGGGAUCCUUCAGGAAGCAAUUUCCAGAGCUUAAGGCCUAGCUAUUUGAAGCGUGGCCACCAGUAAUGGGGUGAAGGAAAGGCCUGAGUUGAAGGAAUGCAGAGUGCACUGAGGGUUGUGUGGCUGUAGGGGAUUGCAGAGUUGGUCAUCAAUGGACUCAAACAUGGGAACAAUCAUUUUAAAAAUCGAGAUGUGGCUAGACCGGAAGCUAAUGAAGGUCAGCAGCAGAAGGGCAAGAGCAGAGUUUUGAGAGAGUUAGGAUAGUGGCGGCAAGGCUUUUGAUUAGAUUAAGUGUAGAUAGGGUGGAAGAUGGAUUGGAAGGCUGGCUAGGAGAGAACUGGAACAGUUGAGUCUGGAUGAGGGUUACAGCAGUAAGUGGGCUGAGUUGCACAAAUCUGGCAAAUUGGGUGAUUUGAGGUGAGGAAACUUGCGUAGUAAUGCACUAAACCUCAUCUUUGCCUCUAGGCCAUGUUGUCACCAUUAUGCCAAUAUUUUUGAGUGACUUAUACCAGCACAUGUAGCUUCUGUGCAUACCUAGUAACUGCUUAACCUGGUGGUAAAGGGACCAGCAGAAUCACCCUUAGCUAGGAGCACCCUGAUUGCAUGAUAGAAAUCAACAGGUAGUGGGCAGCUGGAUUUGGUUUUACACGUAUUUAAUGGGUGUAAGAGCAAAGGCAAUACAGAACAAAAAACAUCACGCAAUGAAGACUUGAAUGUGGCUUUGUCCUACGAUUUUGGUAGACAGCUAAUGGCUCCGUUUUAUUCUAGGACUUGGAUAUUCACCCUUGAAAGAAGGCCUCGGCACUAAAUCCUGUUCCUACAAAUAUGAGGUUGCUUUCGCAGUAUUGUGCAAAACCAGCUGGGUUUAAUUCUUGGAAGUUUUUUUCUCGGCAGACCUCUUUCAGCACCAUUGGAGGUCCCAAUCCUGCAGCCUGGCCGAACUCCUCAAGGGCCUUCAUGUUAAACCACAGUCACCACAACUGCAGCCUGUCUGCCUCUCCUAUGAGGCAGCAAGAUGAAAAUUUGAAGCCUGUUCACCUUCAACGCAUUUUCUCAAAUCCGCAGAAGGUUUUGUGAAAUUAAGGUAUUAGCCGAUUGAGUUGGUGCUGUUAGGUUCUGAUAUAAGUCCAGAGGCUGGCUGAUCUCUGGUAAGUAACUCUUCCGAUUCAGUCUUAACUGUAGAUUAACUGAGUGUUAACCUCUCACAACUGGGCAUAAAGCAUCCAAGAGCAACUGUGCGUAUUCCUGAACUCCAGCAAUACUGUAUUUGAGUCUACCCCUCUGUUAAAGCAGGAGUGAGGUCCCAGAUACCAAGGCAGGAGUCAAGACUGUUCUCUCAAAGGGAAGACCUGAAAGCUGAACCUGUAUUUUCUUUCUAGGUGCUGACUGACCGUCCUGCAUUUUCUGUUUCUAGUCCAUGCUGUUACUCUCUAGUCAAUCACCGGGCCAAUAUAUUCCAACUUGUGAGCAGUGCAAGUUAUCGCUUCCUGAACUUGUAGUGAACGUUACAGCCCUCUCUCUUUGUGCAUAAAUUGGGGGAAUGUUCUGGCUGUAGUUCAGACAUUCGCCCCAGUGCACCAUGUAUGUAGAAGUAGUCUUUUGUGAGCUGAAGUCUGUUUAUCUCUGCCAUCUUUGGGUGAGUGUAGCUGAGGUACAACCCUGGCUGGAUUAAAUCGCAGGAUUGCUAUCAUAUUCUUCACCUACUAAGGAUAGCAAGGACCCCAAAGGCUUGUGUACCCGGCUAAAAUGCAGCUAACUUAAACCCAGGCAACAUGGAGAAUUUGACUUGGAGCACUUGCGGAUUGUCCCUUCCUGGCAAGCUCUUGAAGUAGAGUAUCUGCUGGCGUGUCAUUCUGCUGGCUUUAUCCACCCCAUCCUAUGCAGCAUAGUAUUGUUGCUAUAGGAAAGAAAACAGCAGAUGUAACAACAGUUGAUGAAAUGGCUUCGUUUCAACACCACCGAGCAGCUGUGGGACCAACCUGAAAUGAGCACCUCCUCGGCUUGCCCAGCCACCCACUUUACCAGCAGGGAUGCAAGCUGAGCAUCCCAGGAAAUUGAGGCUCUUCAGCUGAGUGCCAGGCAAGAUGCCUGACCAUCAGACCAAUACUCCCCCUGCCCGCUUUCCCACAUGUGCUCGGUAUGGUUAAUAGGUAAAACCUGAUACGGCCCAGGACAAAUUGUAUUUGGUGCAGGUCACAUUGCUGAGCAAGAGAGAGUACCCACCCCACAUAGAUUCUCAUCACUUCCGUGACUCAGUCUGCAAAUGUUAUCGUUUUGGUUGUGGAUUCUCGCCCUUCAGUGUAAUUCACUUCAGCUCUGCCCUUUCAAACCAGAAUCCCGUGCCCAGCAUAAUCACUGGUUAUCUGUAUGAUCUGAUGUGCUUUUGAGAAUUCCUGUACUUCACAGUAUUUUUAAUAAAAUCUAUCUCCA